GGGCCCGCACAAGCGGUGGAGUAUGUGGUUUAAUUCGAUGCAACGCGAAGAACCUUACCAGGGCUUAAAUGUAGUCUGACAGGGGUGGAAACACCCCCUCCUUCGGGCAGAUUACAAGGUGCUGCAUGGUUGUCGUCAGCUCGUGCCGUGAGGUGUCAGGUUAAGUCCUAUAACGAGCGCAACCCCUGCCGUUAGUUGCCAGCAUGUAAUGAUGGGAACUCUAACGGGACUGCCGGUGCAAACCGCGAGGAAGGUGGGGAUGACGUCAAAUCAUCACGGCCCUUACGUCCUGGGCUACACACGUGCUACAAUGGCCGGUACAGAGGGCAGCCACACCGCAAGGUGGAGCGAAUCCUUAAAACCGGUCUCAGUUCGGAUCGGGGUCUGCAACUCGGCCCCGUGAAGCUGGAAUCGCUAGUAAUCGGAUAU
RNAcentral lists this ribosomal RNA (429 nucleotides) under uncultured bacterium. Its description in RNAcentral is "bacterial SSU rRNA". It matches the Rfam family "Bacterial small subunit ribosomal RNA", at positions 917 to 1349 of the family's 1533-position model. The record is from RNAcentral.